Molecule: ribosomal RNA, 305 nt
Filed under: uncultured bacterium
Lineage: Bacteria
Description: bacterial SSU rRNA
Rfam family: Bacterial small subunit ribosomal RNA
Source: RNAcentral
CCUACGGGAGGCAGCAGUGGGGAAUAUUGCACAAUGGGCGCAAGCCUGAUGCAGCCAUGCCGCGUGUAUGAAGAAGGCCUUAGGGUUGUAAAGUACUUUCAGCGGGGAGGAAGGUGAUAAGGUUAAUACCCUUAUCAAUUGACGUUACCCGCAGAAGAAGCACCGGCUAACUCCGUGCCAGCAGCCGCGGUAAUACGGAGGGUGCAAGCGUUAAUCGGAAUUACUGGGCGUAAAGCGCACGCAGGCGGUCAAUUAAGUCAGAUGUGAAAGCCCCGAGCUUAACUUGGGAAUUGCAUCUGAAACUG